AAAAACAUGGCUCUUUGUUUAUCUAAAUAUAAAGAGUCAAGCCUGCCCAGUGAAAGAAAUUUUUAACGGCCGCGGUACCCUAACCGUGCAAAGGUAGCAUAAUCAUUUGCCUUAUAAUUGAAGGCUAGUAUGAAUGGUUUGACGAGAGCAGCACUGUCUCUUUUUUAUUUUCAAGAACUUAACUUUUAGGUGAAGAGGCCUAAAUUUUAUUGAAGGACAAGAAGACCCUGUCGAGCUUAAAAGACAUUGUAGAUGCUUAAGUAUAUUUCUAAAUAAAUUUCUAUUAAGCUUUUUAGUUGGGGCGACUAAGGAACAAAAAAAGCUUCUUUAUUAAAAAUAAAUAGUCAUGUCUAGAUCCGAUAAUAGUCGAUUAGAGAAAUUAGUUACCGCAGGGAUAACAGCAUAAUCUCUCUUGAGAGACCUAAUCGAAAGAGGGGGUUGUGACCUCGAUGUUGGACUAGAAUAUCCUAAAGAUGUAGAAGUCUUUAAGGGUCGGUCUGUUCGACUGUUAAAAUUCUACGUGAUCUGA
This 529-nucleotide ribosomal RNA is filed under the name Semisulcospira libertina. Its description in RNAcentral is "partial 16S ribosomal RNA". It matches the Rfam family "Bacterial large subunit ribosomal RNA", at positions 1809 to 2608 of the family's 2925-position model. Lineage: Eukaryota; Metazoa; Mollusca; Gastropoda; Semisulcospiridae. The record is from RNAcentral.